AACCCAUGGGGAGGGCACCUUCUCAACAGAUCCUUGUAUCUCUCCCAUGCAUUGUAGAGUGUUUCUAAAUCCAUCUGUACAAAAGAGGAGAUAUUAUUACGUAAUUU
Molecule: small nucleolar RNA, 107 nt
Filed under: Gossypium hirsutum (cotton)
Lineage: Eukaryota; Viridiplantae; Streptophyta; Magnoliopsida; Malvales; Malvaceae
Description: Plant small nucleolar RNA R71
Rfam family: Plant small nucleolar RNA R71
About the family: R71 is a member of the C/D box family of snoRNAs containing the C (UGAUGA) and D (CUGA) box motifs.
Source: Rfam by way of RNAcentral